This 504-nucleotide ribosomal RNA is filed under the name uncultured Rikenellaceae bacterium. RNAcentral's name for it is "bacterial SSU rRNA". It matches the Rfam family "Bacterial small subunit ribosomal RNA", at positions 903 to 1382 of the family's 1533-position model. The record is from RNAcentral. Lineage: Bacteria; Pseudomonadati; Bacteroidota; Bacteroidia; Bacteroidales; Rikenellaceae.
CGCCUUGCCAGCCCGCUCAGAACUCAAAUGAAUUGACGGGGGCCCGCACAAGCGGAGGAACAUGUGGUUUAAUUCGAUGAUACGCGAGGAACCUUACCUGGGCUAGAACGCAAUCGGAAUCAGGCCGAAAGGCCUGCGCCAGCGAUGGCCGGUUGCGAGGUGCUGCAUGGUUGUCGUCAGCUCGUGCCGUGAGGUGUCGGGUUAAGUCCCAUAACGAGCGCAACCCCUACUGCUAGUUGCCAGCGGGUCAUGCCGGGGACUCUAGCGGAACUGCCAGCGUAAGCUGCGAGGAAGGUGGGGAUGACGUCAAAUCAGCACGGCCCUUACGUCCAGGGCUACACACGUGUUACAAUGGCCAGUACAGAGGGCAGCCACCCCGCGAGGGGGCGCUAAUCCUAAAAGCUGGUCCCAGUUCGGAUCGGAGUCUGCAACCCGACUCCGUGAAGCUGGAUUCGCUAGUAAUCGCGCAUCAGCCACGGCGCGGUGAAUACGUUCCCGGGCCUU